RNAcentral lists this long non-coding RNA (1473 nucleotides) under Olea europaea (common olive). Its description in RNAcentral is "long non-coding RNA (OEUR_LNC007082)". Lineage: Eukaryota; Viridiplantae; Streptophyta; Magnoliopsida; Lamiales; Oleaceae. The record is from RNAcentral.
AGUGUUGUUACCGGUGAGGGAUUUAUCUCAUCACGCAUGAUUUUCCUUCAGGUUUUUAGUGGAAGCUAGAUAAAAAUAAACAUUGUUGAGAAAUAUGAUGGUUUUUGCCCGCUCAUUUAUGUUGGAAGUUACUUGUGUUUAUGAGAACCAUCAGAUUUGUUAGCUAUGCAAUUUGGAUUGAAGAUAGUAGAUUAAGUCUGAUAUGAGAACAUGGCCUGAUGGGAAUGUAAUUGAGGUGAUGGAUUCUCCUUUUGGAAGUGGAUUGAGGCAAAUUUCUUGUAGAAGAGAAUUUUGUGUGCUUGCUGCAGAUUGAGAAAUAUGAGGUGAUUGAAAUGACAUGAUCUCCAGACAAAAAUAAUUCUGUGAUAUGAUGAUUUUGUCAACUAUGUGAGGGAACAUGCAUGCCAGUGUGGUUAAUGCACCCCUGAAACCAUCAGAUAAAAAGAAUGGGAGAACAUCCACGUAUGAGUUUGAGGUCAGUGCUGAGAAUAGACCAUGAUGGACAAUCACCGAAGCUAUUGACAAAUUUGUUCAUGGCAAAAGAAAAAUAAAAUAAAGUGUUGAAAAAUAUGAUGGUUUUUGCCCGCUCAUUUAUGUUGGAAGUUACUCGUGUUUAUGAGAACCAUCAGAUUUGUUAGCUAUGCAAUUUGGAUUGAAGAUAGGAGAUUAAGUCUGAUAUGAGAACAUGGCCUGAUGGGAAUGUAAUUGAGGUGAUGGAUUCUCCUUUUGGAAGUGGAUUGAGGCAAAUUUCUUGUAGAAGAGAAUUUUGUGUGCUUGCUGCAGAUUGAGAAAUAUGAGGUGAUUGAAAUGACAUGAUCUCCAGACAAAAAUAAUUCUGUGAUAUGAUGAUUUUGUCAACUAUGUGAGGGAACAUGCAUGCCAGUGUGGUUAAUGCACCCCUGAAACCAUCAGAUAAAAAGAAUGGGAGAACAUCCACGUAUGAGUUUGAGGUCAGUGCUGAGAAUAGACCAUGAUGGACAAUCACCGAAGCUAUUGACAAAUUUGUUCAUGGCAAAAGAAAAAUAAAAUAAAUAUAAGGAUAAUAAAUUAAAAAAUAAAAAGUGAAACCAAUUUGGAGCUGGGUUCUUGUAAGAGUUAUGGAUCAAGCUUUCUAUGAGAUUUAGUUUCUGUUGUUCACUUCAGUAUUUGUAGUUUGUAGUCAUAGGCGCAUCAUGCAAGUUAUUCCUUCUUUAGAUUUGGGAUGUCCUUGUGAUAUUAUUGCAUGUAGCCGUAUUGAGUGGCUUAAGUUAUAAAGCUGGAAACAACUGAACUUUGAUAUGAUAUCUGGCUACUGUCUUGAAUGUAAGAUAUAAAGCCCAUGUUUGAGUCCCAUUUUUCCAUAAGUUCAUUAUCUACCAUGCAUUAUCCCUAUAACUUUGCAUGUAAAUCCAAAAUGCUUCCCUACCUUUUAACCACAUAUUCUUCAAAAAAAUCACUUUUUUCAAAAUUUAUUUUUGAAAAAUGGGGCUCAAA